GACAACAUCGAGGUUACUGGAUCGCUGGGACAGGGGUCCCUGGAGCACUCUGAUCUGGAGCACGGGGAGCUGAGGGUCUCUGGGGCAUCCAUGAGCUUCAAAGGGGCCACACCUGAGCAUCCAGGUGUUCAGCCACCAGGUAGAUGGUCACUGAGGCACAAGAUGAACAUGCUGAGGCUCUGACAGGUGGAACCUGUUCAACUUCACAGAGCUGGUGGGCACCUGUGGUGACUCCUCAGAGCCACCUACUCAGGAGUGGGCCUGGCCGCCAGCACCAUGUCAGAGCGAACUCUCCUCCCACUGAGCAGGAAGACCAUUAAGACAAACUACGGAGGUUUUUCCCCUGCAGUUUUUACUUUAUAUUAGU
Odocoileus virginianus texanus is the source of this 367-nucleotide long non-coding RNA. RefSeq lists it as uncharacterized. Lineage: Eukaryota; Metazoa; Chordata; Mammalia; Artiodactyla; Cervidae. The record is from RefSeq and is a predicted model, not a curated record.